UUUUAAUUUUUUCUAAGUGAUUUGGUAUUUGCUCCUUGUAUUGUGUGACUUAGUGAGAAUGAGAAAGAAACGUGUGAGGAUCAAAAAGAACUCGUACCUAGGUUUCCAUUUAUCAUUGUGCAGUAGAUUUUGUGGGACCCAUGUUCAAUGUUAGAUAUAUCUAACCUGUCGGGACCGUUUGAGUAUCCCUUUUAAUGUAACAAGUAUGGUGCCAAAUUGAAACAGAAGAAAUUGCAUUAAUGAUCGUCGAGUGAUCACAGGAAGUUUUUGCAUCAUUAGGCUAUCAGACAAAACGUAAAUAGGACGACUUAGUAUUAAACGGCUAACUCGUUCAGUUAGUGGAAAUACAUUAACUAAAUCUUUUUGUAACACUUAAGACUAUAUAAGUUGCCAAAAUAACGUCUACUUAAGUUUAACUGG
Molecule: long non-coding RNA, 420 nt
Filed under: Brassica napus (rape)
Lineage: Eukaryota; Viridiplantae; Streptophyta; Magnoliopsida; Brassicales; Brassicaceae
Description: long non-coding RNA (BNAP_LNC014164)
Source: RNAcentral